Molecule: long non-coding RNA, 477 nt
Filed under: Elaeis guineensis (African oil palm)
Lineage: Eukaryota; Viridiplantae; Streptophyta; Magnoliopsida; Arecales; Arecaceae
Description: long non-coding RNA (EGUI_LNC046785)
Source: RNAcentral
GUGCAGCCCCAAUCGAUCGAGGUAACAUCUCAAGUCGAGGCACCAUCUCAAGUCGAGGAACUACCUCAGCAACCUGAGAAUCAGCCUCUACCACCUCAGUAGGCUUCGGGGAUGGCCCUCGAAUAGUUCAACCUACUCAUGCAGCAAGUUCAGACUCUGACUGUAGCCAUCCAAGUAAUCCAGCAGGUGGUCGUGGCCCCAUAGCUGACCCUGCAGCAAGUACCUCAGCAACAACAAUAACCUCUACCACCUCCCUGUGUUUAGAUCGAGCACAGUAGAGUCAGCAUAGCUGACCAAGGAGUUUGAAACGAGGUCAUCGAAGGUGCUCAUUGACCCCCCAGCUAGGAAAGGACUCCAUCCUAGAGAGAUCACCACCUCGACACCCAAACACUAUAUUGCUUAGGAUGCCGAUGUAGAUUGCAAGCUCUAGGAGAUGCAUCAGUAGAUCGAAGCACUGUGGGGUUAGGUAUCAGCAUA